RNAcentral lists this ribosomal RNA (213 nucleotides) under Triticum aestivum (bread wheat). Its description in RNAcentral is "partial small subunit ribosomal RNA". The record is from RNAcentral. Lineage: Eukaryota; Viridiplantae; Streptophyta; Magnoliopsida; Poales; Poaceae.
AUGACAUUUAGGGGAACAAGUCAGUUCAAGAGGGCACUGGUGAAGUAUGGCCUUGCUAUGAAGAGGCACAUUUGCUUUGUAAAAGAUGAGGCUGGUAGGAUUAGGGCAAAAUGUUCUUGGCCUAAGUGUCCUUGGUUGAUUUAUGGUGCAAAGAGGAGUUCAAAUGAUUGGUUUCAAGUCAUAACACUUGUUGACAACCACAUAUGCCCAUAG